AAAGAUGCCUGCUGGGAGGGAGGACCGCAGUCCCGGAGCGGCCCACAGCCGGGGCCGACUGCAGAGGCCCCCGGGACAGCACAGCCUUUAGGCGGCACGGGAAACCCGCUUAGCACUUCGGGGGGCAGCGACAGGUGCUCAGGGUGCAGUCCCCUAGGACACAGAGAAACAGACAUGCAGAAACUUGCGGUUCCUGCCGCCCUUUCGUCCCGGCCUCUGAUGUGGUGGGCGAUGGCACACGGGCAGCUCAGCGGAGCCCCUGAACGUCACCAGCACAGUCGCAGUCGAGCAACACGGGCCGGGCCUUCCUGCACCCCAAACUGAGAGGCGCGCAUGGGUGCGUGCGUGUCCGGCUCCGCUGAGUGGAACUCGUGCUCUGCUCCCCCAUUUCCGCUCUGCGCCUCCUCCCGUCUUCCUCCCUUCUGCGGCAGCCUUGAACCCAGCUCCGGCUCCAGGCGUCUCUGCCGCGCCCUCUCCCUUCCGGCCCGCUGUGGUCCCCUCUCCCAGCCUCACAGUGCUCUCUCCGGCUCCUCCUUUCCUCUGGUCCCGGUGAGUCGCUCUGCCUCUGCCUGCCCUGACCUCCUGCCCCUCUCCACCUGUGUCCCGCCCGCUCUCCUUGCAGAGCAGCGUCCGGUGCUCACUCCCGGUGUCAGUGGCUCCUCCUGGCCUCCGCGGGGUCCGUGCCGCCCAGCCGGCCUGCGUGGAGGCCACUCUGUGAGCGCGGCUGCUGACUCCGAGGUCUCCUGUCCUUCCCGGCCCGCGCAGGUCCGUGGCUCACACCAGUGUGUGUCUAAGGGAUGGGCGUGUGGAAAAGCCCUUUCCGCUUUGCCUAGGGAAACUCAGCCUCUCUUUUGAGAGGUAACCCCAAUAACCCUUGAAACGGUCUCCAACCCUUUGCUAACUUUUCCUCUUCCCUACCUGUCCCCACUUCAUUCCUGAAUAAUCCUUGAAUUCCCUGAACUCCCUGUAAUACAGGGCUGAUUUUAUGCCUCUGGUCACUCCCUCCUUCUGUUAGAAUUUAUCUUACCGCACCCUGUCCCUUGGAGUAGGGACUCUUUUCUUUUUCAUCUUUUCUCCUUUCUUUGCUCCAGAGAUUUAUGGAAGAGUAAAUAAAAGGGAAGAAGGGAGCACCCUUUAGCUGCUAGGUACAAGGAAAGUUAAAGCACAGAGUGUAAGAGUGACCUAACUGAGUGCUUCUGAAGCCCCCGAGUUGUACUUGUAAGAGGGACACUUUAGGUGGUGUAAUACGUUUGAAGAUGUUUUAUGGAAGCUGAAGUAGAGCGGAAUAAUCCCACAGUGCAGCCCAAGGUAGACGGAGAAAAUGGAGCUGAAGCUGCUGAACACAUUUCCUUUCAUACGUAAGGCGACUUCCGGAGAGAGGCGCUGUGACUGUCUGUCACAGGAGUGAGACUCCUAAAAGCCACUGCGCCCGCCCAUCACAGACACCGUGCAGCUGUGUGGCCAUCUGUCGCAGUGUGAGAAAGGCCAGACUGAGCCUGCAGUGCUGUGCUGUCUCUCCAGCUGUCCUGCUCACUGGGCUGUGCACUCGACAUCCGAGGCCCCGGUGUGAAGACUCCACAGCAGGAGCACUGAGAGCUUCAGGAAGAAAGCGGCCAGCACAGUCCCCUCCUCCAGGAGACAAGGCUCCUAAACCCAGUGCUUCUCAUUAAGGAAAAAUGUGCCAUCACAAGUUGUGCAUCGUGCAGCUGCGGUCUAGAAACUGCCUCGUUGCCGUGUUCUCCUUGGGCGCUGAGGCCGUGGCGCUGCAGCACAGAAUUCCUCCUCCACGUUCAGUUUGCAGUUUAUUUGUCCUGGGUGCCCUGGGUCCCCUGGGCGCGAGCUCACCCCAGUGGCGUUGCUCUCGCUCCCGCUGGUUCUCCUCACCUAUCACACCCACUGCAGACAUGUUGUUCCGCUGCACACUCACUGGGCCCUGGCUCGUCCUUCCGUGAGGUGAUCGAGAAGUUGGUCUCUCUGCUGCUCUGUUUCCUGGAAUUGGACCCUGCCCCCAGGGGAGAGCAGAGGGCGGUCUCCCUUCAUCUCGUCCUCCUGGUUCCUUCAACUCAUCAGCUGGCCAGACCACCAUCUGUUUAACUUCAGCAUUUGUCUUCUGGUUGUGCAAGCAGUUCAAGUCCUGUGAGCCUAACACACACACACACACACGCACACGCACACACACGCACCCGGCUUCCUUUCUGGUUCUCUGCUCCUCACCUCCCAAAGGACUGGUCUUCAGCAGCGCCAGGAACGUUCUCCGUCUUCAUGCGCUUUGCCGUGAUCCCACCCCAUUGCCCGUGAAACUGUCCCUGCGGAGGACACCACUGACCACAGGUGGCCCAGAACCGGGGUCUGUGAGGAGCACUGACUCUGUGCGGUGGUCUCUCGGCAGUGUCCUCGCUCGGGAUUUGGUCACCCAGUCCCCACUGCGGUCUCGGCACUGCUUCCUCUGGUUCUGACUGCAGACCUCACGCCGAAUGCCCUGGGCACUCAAGGACCUGUUCCAGACACUCACUGCAUGGGACGGAAAAUCAGGGAGCAGAAUCUCUGUGCCCGCAGCAGGGCUGCCUCACCUUGUGUAGGGGUCUCAGGAGGCCCCCGAGAAGCUGCUGCACGGAGCCCCCCAGGAGAAGUGGUGGGAAGGUGCCCAGGAGGAGGGAACAGCCCGUGCUAGAAGGCAGCAUGGCUGGGGAGAGAGCGUGGACCCAGCUUAUUUUUCCCCAAUACUGAGACUGACCUGAGGGCCUUUGUGCUGAGCCACAUCCCAGGAUUCUUUUCUCCCCUUUAGUUAGAGAACGAAGGGCCUCACGUAGGGUCUCAUAAGCCUUGGAGUUUCCAGGCUGGGCUGGAACUUGUGCUUUUCCUGCCUCAGCCUCCCUGAACGCUGAGGUGGGAGUCGUGCCCCACCAUGCCUAGCUCGUUCCCGGGUGGUAGUAGUAACAGCAGCCGCAUUUCUUGAUGUCUUGGGUGUGCUCAGACCGGCCUGUUCUCCUGGGCUGUUCUGGAGAGCAGGGCGCUCCUUGGGGGUGGAGCUGGGCAGCUGGCAGGUGGUGUGGGCAGUGGUAUCCACCAUGGCCGUGGGGUUGUCUCAUGAUGGGAUGACCUCACAGAUGGUGGCUCUCAGGCCGUCCCGUGGUCCUACCCGGGAGGGUGGGAGGCUGAUGUGUUUCAGGGCCAGCCCAGGACCCUGGAGCAGGGCUGCAUCUGGGAAAGCUCCGCCCACCACGUCCUUCACCAUCCAGGUCCGGACUCGUGUGGCGCCUUCUGAGGGCCGGGUUGUCCGUCCACUGCCUAACAGGAAAAAGGCCUGGGCUGGUGUGGGCCACAGGGUGGGGUGCAGCCUCCCUGCUGGCCCGGGGUCCACAGGAUCCGGGGACUCAGCUCUGGGCUUCAUGUGCUGGACACAGUGCAGGCCACGGCCAGGUUAGGGCAGAGGACAGAGCAGUAGCCCGAGCACGGGAGGAGAGGACAGGUCACUGCCACGUGUGCCUCUCACAGGCCUCGCUGGGUGACCGUGGCCCUGUCUGUCUUGGCCAGACCCAGGCCUUUGUCUUCGUUCCUGGCCAAGGAUUCAUCUCUCCUCCUAGGGCCUGGUGGGGGCGACACAGCUGCAGCGCCCCCACCCCACACCCCCGAGACCGGCAGGGCACCCUUGGAGCCAAGCUCAGGGAGGCUCCUUCUCCCUGCCAGCCGGCAGUGCCCUCCACACUGGGGCCCGGGUGGCAGCCCGGAUGGUCCACCCCACUGCACUAGGGCCGGGCAGAGGGCCUGUGCAUGCGUCCAUACAUGUCUACCACACGCAGGAUGCGCUGUCUUGAACCCCCGGAAUCCUCUCCUGCUUUGCUCACACCCGUCCUGUCGCGCUGGCCACUGCCCGCCCACUUCUGGAUGGCCUUUCUCCUGAGCAUCUUGGCGCGGUGCAAUCAGAACUGUGAAUGCUGCUGCCCUGUGCUGUGCAGCAGAAAGUGGGCUUGUGAAAACUCGGCGGUGUCCUCAUCCUCCUCAUCCACCGGGCCUGGCUGUGCCCAGAGUCACCGUGAGCGGGAAAGGCCGAGGCCUUGAAUUGAAGCGGCCGGGAUGAUGGGAUGAGCACGUCUGGAGAGGGGAGGACCCUGGGGAGGGGUCCCUGGCAAUGUGUCCCUCCCUGUAAGUAAAGUUGAAACAUCCGCCGUAGUUUUCGAUGGCCCCUCCUGCCCGGCGAGCACAGAGCAGGGGCUGAGUGGAGUUGCCCAGGCCAGUGCCGCCCUGGAGCUGGCCCUGCCCCGCGUCUGCCCCUCGGCCCCCUCGUGUCCUGCACCUUCAUGAACAUCAGCAACCUUGUGAUAAAGGGGUCACAUGAGGAGCUGCUUCCCUGAGCUGCCAAUGAAUGGGCCGAGGCGGGUCUGGGAGCCGGAUUUGCCCGCCCCAGACCUGCGUGUGGGGCCGCUGCCCUGGACCCCGCGCACCCCACAGUGCCGCUGCCCAAGAGGGGUGGGAGGACCGCAGCUCUGCCAGGAGCGCCCUGGGCAGAGAGAGGGGAGCGGAGCCGGCUUUUGUCCCGCAGAGUGGAGAGAGUUGCUGUCCUGCUGGGCAAAGGGUCUGGAGACUAUAGGGGUAGAGAUUCGGUUUACAAACAGAAAAAGCGCAGCUCUGCGCAGCGCACAGGUGAAAUGGGAAAUCACAGGAAGACUGGCUCGCGGCUUCUCCGCCCGGCCUGGCAGCGCAGCCCUGGACCUUCCUGGCAGCGGCAGGGCCAGGGAGCAGCGGGCAGAGCCCGCCGCCUGCGAUGUUUGACAGGGAGCUCGGCCGUGAUGCGUGCAGCGGGAGUGUAAAAGAGAGGAGAGGCAGGAGGCCUUCUGUGUCCCCGUGUCCCCGCCUGCAGUGAGGGGGCCUCCCUGGGCCUUGGGGUCCGCGGCACAGCCGCUCUCGGCCGCUAGGGGGCGGAGGAGGCCAGGCCUCCCUGAACUGAACAGGGAGGAGGGGCUUGGGGCGCACAGCCGCCAGGGCCGCUGCCCAGGGUCACUUCCCCGCACGCUUAGUGCCUGGACGCCUCUCUAGACCCCAAGGCAGGGCUCCCUGUGGCAGGGAGACGGAGUGGAAUACAGCCGCGCUCCCUUCAGAGAGGAGGAGCCUGGCGUUCGUCCGCGCAGGACCGCCCUUCAGGGAAUGAAGGGUUCUUUGGUUCUGCGCUGCUCCUUCUGCGUCUGCGUCUUCAUUUCCGCUCUGCAGCCCGCAGUGCGCGCGUGACCCCUUGUGGUGCCCUGUGGGACCGAGGCCUCGGUGGGCUCCGUGUCACCUUCUUACCUCCUCCCGGGACUCCGAGUGCUCGCCACAGCCGGGGGCCACACCCGUCCCUCACGGAGAGAAAACACAACCGUGAUGCUGCAGGGCCCGCCGGACAUUUUCAGGAUCAGCUGAGCUGCUGGCAGGCUCUUCUCCGCGUUCAGCCUGAAAUCGGACUCUGUGAAGACCGGAACUCGCCGAACAGGGGCGCGAAAACCAGGAGCCCUGUUGAAUUCUCUUAACGUUGGGGCUGUGCUUACAUGUCAGCUGGAAACUGUUAGACGGCAACUUUGUCUGAUCAGGAUGAGGAUUGCAGCAGGGUGUGAGGGAGAGCCCUGCUCCCAGAGUGAGGAAGGGUAGUCUGACUCUUCGUUUGCAAAACAGGGACCGCGCCGUGCGUUGUUCGCCAGUCGGGGAUGGAAGGGAUGGGAAAGCGCUUUGCAAGCUGCAGUAAGAUGCAUCCGUGUGAGGUCAUCGCUGGCUUUGCAGUCGGCUGGCUUGAAAAUGCGUCGGCUGGGUUCAAGCACAGCCCUGUUCGAUUCCAUUUUGCUCCGUGCUUUCCCUUCUUAAGCGGUGGAGACCGAGAGUCAGCCCUGUUCAUCUCUCAGGUCCUGCGUGACGGACAUGUGCGAGUGUCCAGCCCACAGGAACUGUUACUGUGAGUCGCUCCUGGCCUAUGCCCGGGCCUGCCAGAGGGAGGGCAUCUCGGUGCCCUGGGCGCCCCAGCAGCACUGCGCAGCCACCCAGUGCAGGCACGGCGCUGUGUAUGACACCUGUGGCCCGGGGUGUGUGAAGACCUGCGACACCUGGAAUGACAUCGGUCCUUGCAACAAGCCAUGUGUGGCAGGCUGCCGCUGUCCAGCUGACUUGGUCCUGCACAGGGGACGGUGCAUCCCGCCGGUGCUUUGUCCUCAGCGGUGACGUCUGUGCCGGCCAUGGAGACUGAAGCCUGGUGUCCCGGACACUGAAGCGGAAGAGGCAGGGAAGAGCACACAGAGCACACGUGUCCCUGUGGAGAGGUACAGAUACAGCCUUUCAUCGUUUGUGUGGACUCUAGUGCAGUACUAGAGUAUUGUGUGGGAGCAUUUUCUGCUAUAAACAGGUUUUGUUUCUAGGACCCUGAUCUGUAAGCCAUUGGACUCAGUGUAUAAACACAGCAGGGGGGUUUAAUUGAGCGGGCAGCGUGCAGACUUCCGGAGUGGUGGGACAGUCACACGUUUCUCCUUCUUGAGGAAGUCUGCUAAGGGCCCCCAGCUGCCUGCCUGCCUUCGUUGUAGCUUGGACUCAGUGUUGGUCACUGAGUAGAAAAUGGGUUUUUCUGGAAAAAGGCCUACUUAUUUGGGGACAUUUCGUAUUUCCUAAGAGAGGAACGUGUGCCCGAGUGGGGUGGAAGACCGGGCAGGCCCUGAUGCUGCCUGCGAGGCAAGGAAGGAGAGGCUGCCCGGCUCACGGGCGGUGGUCUGACGCCGUUCCCACGACUGGCCGUCACCAGGAAACACGGGCGCCACCGAAGGUGGGGCGGGUUCUUACGGUCUUCGCGGAGCCCUCCAGCCUCCUAGGUUCUCUGCGAGUGCUGGAGGUGGCCACUUGUGCCGUCGCUGAGAUGGAGGAGUGUCCAGGAGCCGUGUUUGUUAUGAGCAUGGGAAGGUGCACAGCGCAUGGAGAACACCGUGCUUCUGACUCUCAGAGCUGUCCAGGGAGGGAUGGAGGCCUCUGCCUUCUGCGAUGUCCCAUGCGGAACCGGAAGUCUUCGACUGCUCUGAGGGCUCCCUUCUGGCGCUGUUGGUGGCUGAGAAUGUGUCGCAGUCUUAGCUGGGAAAGACUUGCUGGCCAGUUGCUUUAACGUCAUUCCAAACAAAGAACGUCCGUCCUGCCUGCUUUCCCAGUUUAUUGAUGAUGUCGCUCCCAGUUGCCCUGUGAUUUUCCUGGCUUUCACUUUCUGUUACACAAGUGCAAAAGUCAACCAAAACAAAACCCGCUGAUGUCUAAAAAUGAAAUGUUCUGCACUGUAGUAAAUAAAUGGAUUAAGCUUCAGCCAUGGCGUUUCCUCCUGUAAGAUGUCCUGUGUUGUGCUUUACGAAUGAGCUGUAUCAACUUCAGGUUUGUCCGUAUUAAUAGUUCUCCUUAGGCCUAAUUAUAAGCCGUCUGUUGCUUUUAUUGAUAGAGUACUGUUAACGGAUAGCAGCAGAUGCCUGCAUUCUGGCUGUAGGAGUGUCAGCCUUGCUGUCAAAGGCCUGCGUACCCUUUACGCUCCCCAUGAGGCACCGCUGCGGGCUCUUUCCGAGCGCCCUGGCAGCCAGCAGGACUGGAGUGAAGUCGCCGUGAGGAGCUCUUCAGCUCCUGACAUUGCCCUUCAGGUCUUAUCCUCCGUCUCUCCCCACACACGGUUUUCAUUCUCCUCUCCCGAGACAGAGUGCGCCCGGGGCUAGGAUGGCCCGGAAUAGAUGCUGUGGUCCACUUACUCCUGUUGUGCAGCCCUCGGAGGGCUGGAAGCAAGUGCUCCCCUUGCUCCUCCUUUAACUCAGUGAGAUGAAUCAGAAGGCCCUGGUGAUGUUAUUAAUUGCAAAGCUGUGCGCCUCCCUCUCCGGGCCCAGCGAAGCCUCUGGUGCAGGUGAUCUGCGACUUCUACCUCCAGGGCCCACACUAUCCCCUGCAGUGCUCAGAGCCCUUGGCCCCUUCGCCUUGCUCGAGCAGGCCUCACUAGACUCUGCUCAUCCAGCUGCCUGUGAAGUGGGAGGGCCGAGGCCUGUGUUUCAGGUGCUUUACUGGGCUCCAGGGACCCGAAGUCUGUGUCCAGGCCACGUGGACAUUGCCUUCCAGCACUUCCCUCUGCAGCAUGAGUGGCACCUGUGCACGGGGGUUUUCUCUGCACACCAGAGUGCAUGUAUUUUUGCAGUGAGCAUGGACUUGUGUACAAACCACACUCGCAGGCAGGCUUUCCGAAGACAGCCGCAGUGCUUUGCCCUGUGUGCUCUGCUCCGGUGUGACACGACCAGGCCCCCACCGCUGGAGCCAAGUGUGACUCCCUUGUGGUACUCUGGGCUGCCUUGGUGGCUGCCUCCUCUCCAGUGGCUGUGGGAAUCUCCGCCCUGAGUGUGGUUGCAAGUGACAGUCCUAGGUGAGCCCAGCCUUCCACUCUGCCCAGCCAUGUCCGGGUAACUCUGGCCCCGGCCACGGGGUGUCCCCACUGAGGCCAUUCUCUACGGGUCUCGCCUCUCUGCGUAUCUGCCAUGCAAAUCACCCCUGCCUUUGUCCCAGGUUAUCAUUCAGAAGAUGCUGCCAGAGCGAACAGCCUGCAAGAAAGAGACUGCUCCACCUUCUGAAGCAAAGGGCAAGCUUGUUUUCAGCCUUGGAAAACGGAGACAGUGUCCCCUAAUAAAGACACUGCCCUGCUUGGGCUGAGCUGCAGGGGCACAAUGUGCAGGCGUCCGUCCGUCUUCUCCAAAGACACCACCAUUCUCACCAAGUCCUUUCACCAAAUGGAGGCUGGCAGGUGACAGUCACUGUGCUCGACACUGAGGCUUAGCAGGACAGACAGCAGGCAGACUGCAUCAUCUCAGCUGCAGAUCUGCACCCUAAGGAGGUAGGAGAUGACAUAGGACGUGGGCUGUGUCAUCCCAGAGACGGGGAGCAGCAGGUGCAGCAGCACAGGCCCGUCGAGGUGCGCAGAAUGUCAGAGGCGGCAUAUGCUGGCACACACUGGGGUCCUUACCCAAGCCAGAGAGGUGAGAGGAAGGUGGCCAAACAGGAAACAGGGUCUACAGGAAGCGGGAGCGGGGCACAGUCUGCAUGCCUCUGCUCCAAUCUCUUAACUCCCACCAUGUCCCCCUUCCGUCUGUAAAGCAACUCUAACUCCUGCCGCCUCGCAUAAUUAUGAGGCUCAAACAAGGUAUUACACGUGGUGCACUGUGAAGUAUUAUCUGUGCAGUCUUCUUAAUUCCACCUAUGACCUUUGUCAACUUCAGCUUGGAUUCAGGUACAAGGAAGUGCUGAGAUGUGUCAGUAGUGCAAAAAACCAAACAAAAUCAUUCAUGUAUGACUUUGAAUCGUGUUAGAAGAGUUUUUGUGGGUAUUUCCUUCCCUGUUCCUCCUGCUGAGGUUGAAAUCCACUCGUGUCUCUUGCCCACAAAUACAUGACAGCCUUCGCGUGCACAGUCCACCCACAAGCUCCGUGUCUCACACACAGAUGGAGAGGAUAAUUGGAUGAAGCUGGGAGGCACCUUCAUGGACUGCUG
Long non-coding RNA from Fukomys damarensis (Damara mole-rat), 9494 nucleotides. RefSeq lists it as uncharacterized. The transcript has 4 exons. Lineage: Eukaryota; Metazoa; Chordata; Mammalia; Rodentia; Bathyergidae. The record is from RefSeq and is a predicted model, not a curated record.